UCGAAAGCUUGCUUUUGAUGGGCGUCGACCGGCGCACGGGUGAGUAACGCGUGAGCAACCUGCCCUCCACAGGGGGAUAACGCACCGAAAGGUGCACUAAUACCGCAUAAGACCACGUUUCUGACAUGGGAAUGAGGUCAAAGGAGCAAUCCGGUGGAAGAUGGGCUCGCGUCUGAUUAGCUAGUUGGUGAGGUAACGGCCCACCAAGGCUACGAUCAGUAGGGGUUCUGAGAGGAAGGUCCCCACAUUGGAACUGAGAUACGGCCCAGACUCC
This 274-nucleotide ribosomal RNA is filed under the name uncultured bacterium. RNAcentral describes it as "partial 16S ribosomal RNA". It matches the Rfam family "Bacterial small subunit ribosomal RNA", at positions 68 to 339 of the family's 1533-position model. The record is from RNAcentral.